AUAAUCUGUCUCUUAUUUAAAAAUAAAAUUUAAUUUUUAAAUUAAAAAGUUUAAAUAAUUUAAAAAGACGAGAAGACCCUAUAGAGUUUUAUAGAUAAAUUAAUUAAGGUUAUUAGGAUAGUUUAAAAAUUAAAAUUAAUUUAUUUAUUUUGUUGGGGUGAUAGAAAAAUAUAUUUAACUUUUUUUUUAAUAAAAACAUUUAUAAGUGGUUAGAUGAUCCAUUAUUAUUGAUUAUAAGAAAAAAUUACCUUAGGGAUAACAGCGUAAUUUUUUUUUUUAGUUCAUAUAAUAAAAAGAGUUUGCGACCUCGAUGUUGGAUUAAGAUAAAAUUUAAAUGCAGAAG
This 343-nucleotide ribosomal RNA is filed under the name Carelis sp. CAMOG4878. RNAcentral describes it as "partial 16S large subunit ribosomal RNA". The record is from RNAcentral. Lineage: Eukaryota; Metazoa; Arthropoda; Insecta; Lepidoptera; Noctuidae.